Molecule: ribosomal RNA, 328 nt
Filed under: Scophthalmus rhombus (brill)
Lineage: Eukaryota; Metazoa; Chordata; Actinopteri; Pleuronectiformes; Scophthalmidae
Description: partial 12S ribosomal RNA
Rfam family: Bacterial small subunit ribosomal RNA
Source: RNAcentral
GAUCCGCCCGGGAAUUACGAACAUAAGUUUAAAACCCCAAGGACUUGGCGGUGCUUUACAUCCACCUAGAGGAGCCUGUUCUAGAACCGAUAAUCCCCGUUAAACCUCACCCUCUCUUGUUCCAUCCGCCUAUAUACCACCGUCGUCAGCUUACCCUGUAAAGGAACAACAGUAAGCAGGAUUGGUACAACCCAAAACGUCAGGUCGAGGUGUAGUGUAUGGGAGGGGAAGAAAUGGGCUACAUUUGCUAAUUAUAGCAAACACGAAUAAUGCAUUGAAACAUGCAAUUGAAGGAGGAUUUAGUAGUAAGCAGAAAAUAGAGUGUUUA